RNAcentral lists this long non-coding RNA (809 nucleotides) under Rattus norvegicus (Norway rat). RNAcentral's name for it is "partial HAfT1". The record is from RNAcentral. Lineage: Eukaryota; Metazoa; Chordata; Mammalia; Rodentia; Muridae.
CUGCCCUUGUCAUCUGCUAAAACAAUGGGGCUUCUGGUGUCUUCUCCCUAUUCCCGUCUCCAUCCACAGAGUGGGAACGAGGGCCCAUCAUCGGGCAGUCGUGAACGCCAGGUCAGCUGAGUGGAGGAGACAUUGUGAUACACCCCAGAGACAUGCAAGUGUCCUUCCUUCCUUCCUUCCCUACUCCUGUGAGGCAGAUACUUCACCAAGACGAAACCUUCCUCCUGCUCUUGAAUUAGUGCCUUGGGCAUUGGUGAAUGUGAAGCAGAGGGGAAAAAUUGAAAAUCGCUUGUCCAAAGAUGUCUUUCUCUUGCUGGCCUCACUCACUAAUUCUAGAGAGGAAGUGUUUACUGGAGGAUAAGGUACCACACUGAGGAAGAGAGUCCGGCUGCUCCUGCAUGCACCCCGCAGGUCACAGCUCCAGGUCGCAGUCAUCCGUGAGGAAAAUCAGGGCAGGACGUCAAAGCGGGAACUCUGUCAGCUGUUUCCUCUUUUUCUAGACAUUCCAGCCUGCUCGUCUUGUGAUCACUUAGGGGCCAGCAACGCCAUUCCAUGAGCCAUUGGCUUGUUGAUGAAUCAAGCCAGGUUAAGCUUGUGAUGUAGCAAUUGAUGACCUUGAAAUUCUUCUUUGGCUUCCCCAGCUGGGGCCACAGCUGUGCAUCACCACACCUGGUAUACGCAGCCCUGGGAACAGAACUCAAGGCGUUGUGCAUGCUAGGCAAGCAUUCUGCCGCCGAACUAUAUACCCAGCUGCCCACGGAACACCUACAGGAGUUCAUGCCAAGGGGCAGUUCCAGGAAAGGACACUG